UAGUAGUAGUUGUGUUGUCAACUCUAAACAAGAGAAAACCUAAAUUCAAGUUAUGCUACAAGUAGUAGUAAUAUUAAUAGUAGUUGUGUUGUCAACUCUAAACAAGAGGAAACUUAAAUUCAAGUUG
Arachis ipaensis is the source of this 127-nucleotide non-coding RNA. The record is from RefSeq and is a predicted model, not a curated record. Lineage: Eukaryota; Viridiplantae; Streptophyta; Magnoliopsida; Fabales; Fabaceae.